UGGGGAAUAUUGCACAAUGGGGGAAACCCUGAUGCAGCCAUGCCGCGUGUGUGAGAAGGCCUUCGGGUUGUAAGCACUUUCAGUAGGGAGGAAAGGUUGUAAGUUAAUACCUUGCAGCUGUGACGUUACCUACAGAAGAAGGACCGGCUAACUCCGUGCCAGCAGCCGCGGUAAU
Molecule: ribosomal RNA, 175 nt
Filed under: uncultured Shewanella sp.
Lineage: Bacteria; Pseudomonadati; Pseudomonadota; Gammaproteobacteria; Alteromonadales; Shewanellaceae
Description: partial 16S ribosomal RNA
Rfam family: Bacterial small subunit ribosomal RNA
Source: RNAcentral